Molecule: ribosomal RNA, 815 nt
Filed under: uncultured bacterium
Lineage: Bacteria
Description: bacterial SSU rRNA
Rfam family: Bacterial small subunit ribosomal RNA
Source: RNAcentral
AGAGUUUGAUCCUGGCUCAGAACGAACGCUGGCGGCGUGGAUAAGACAUGCAAGUCGAGCGAGACAUUUCGGGUAGCAAUAUUCGGAAUGUUUAGCGGCGAAAGGGUGCGUAACACGUGGGCAAUUUGCCUUGAAGUUGGGAAUAACUCCGAGAAAUCGGAGCUAAUACCGAAUGUGGUUCUUGGGAGGCAUCUCCUGAAAACUAAAGUUGGGGACCGUAAGGCCUGACGCUUCAAGAUGAGCCCGCGGCCUAUCAGCUAGUUGGUGAGGUAACGGCUCACCAAGGCUAAGACGGGUAGCUGGUCUGAGAGGACGACCAGCCACACUGGAACUGAGACACGGUCCAGACACCUACGGGUGGCAGCAGUCGAGAAUUUUUCUCAAUGGGCGAAAGCCUGAAGGAGCGACGCCGCGUGGGGGAUGAAUGGCUUCGGCCCGUAAACCCCUGUCAUUUGCGAACAAACCUUACGACUUAAUACGUCGUGAGCUGAUUGUAGCGAAAGAGGAAGGGACGGCUAACUCUGUGCCAGCAGCCGCGGUAAUACAGAGGUCCCAAGCGUUGUUCGGAUUCACUGGGCGUAAAGGGUGCGUAGGUGGUCGGGUAAGUCUGAUGUGAAAUCUCUGGGCUCAACCCAGAAAUGGCAUUGGAUACUAUCCGGCUAGAGGAUCGGAGGGGGGACUGGAAUUCUUGGUGUAGCAGUGAAAUGCGUAGAUAUCAAGAGGAACACCAGUGGCGAAGGCGAGUCCCUGGACGAUACCUGACACUGAGGCACGAAAGCUAGGGGAGCAAACAGGAUUAGAUACCCUAGUAGUCC